GUUAGGAUUUGAUUUAGGAUUUAAGGUUUGAUUAAGAUUUGGUUUAGGAUUUAAGAUUUUAUUAGGAUUUAUCUAAGAUUUGGUUUAGUAUUUAGAAUUUGAUUAGGAUUUGAUUAGGAUUUGAUUUAGGAUUUAAGAUUUUUCUAGAAUUUGAUUGAAGUCUAUUAGGAUUCAACUUGAAUUAAAUUAGAACUUAAUUGAGAUUUAUUUAAGAUAUAUUGUGAUUAUUUUAAUAUUUUUUAGAACUUCUUAAGGAUUCUUUUAAGAUUUAUUAAGGAUUAUCUUUUAACUCUUUUAAGUUUUUUUUAUUAUUUCUUUUGUAAUUUCUUUAAGAUUUCUUUUUGAAUUUAAUUAAAGCUUGUUUAGUAUUUUUAAGAUUUAAUUAGAAUUUAUUUAAUAUUCUAUUAAAAUUAUUAUAUUUUUAUUACAAUUUCCAUUCUAUCUUCUACAAUUAGGUGCCCAAUGCACUUCACAUAUUAUAACAGCGGUCAUCAGCUUUCAUGGAUCUUAGCAAUUCUUCAUCUUGGUUUUGAUAGAUGUCAUUAAUGAAAGGCAUCAAUUUUUUUUAUUGCAUUUGUAAGAUUUUUUGUUGGCUCCCAUGUACAUUUGCUAAUAUCAUAUCUACAUCAAUGACUAAGAUAUGCGAACAUAUUUUGGCACUGCCUUGAAUCUAAGACUUCUUCUACCUCAAACUCUUGAUUAUUAUUCACUUCUAUAAGAAGAGGUGGCAUUUAUCUUUGUUUUGAAAUAUUUAUUGUCUUAUACGGCUAAAGAAGGGACACAUGAAAUAUAAGGUGGAUCUUCAUAGACUCCAGUAGAUGUAAUCAAUAAGCAACAAAAUUUAUUUAUUUACAAACAUAAAAAGAUCUCAACCUACAAUAGUCUAAUUUAUCACGAGAACAAAUAGUCUUAAUAUUGCGACAAAGUAAUCAUACCUUGUCACCCACAUUGAAUUGUAGUUGCUCCUUGCAAUACGCAUCCACGUCGGUCUUUUAUUAUUCUUGAGCUUCCUUUAAUUGUGUCUUCAUUGUUGUAUAAAGCUCUGAAAUAUAAUUUGCUAAAUCAUUUGUUAUAGGAUUAUUAACUUUAAAAAAGUUAAAAAUAUCAAGUUGUGGAUGAUAACUAUAAUUGAUAAAGAAAGGUGUUUGUUGAAUAGAAGAAUAUAUCAAAUCAUUGUAUGCAAACUCUACCAAUGUCAAAAGAAUUGUCCAAUCAUCUUAAUGAUAAUUGAUGGUAUACGUCAAAUACUGUUGUAGAACUUUAUUCACAUGUUCUAUUUUCCCAUCAAUUUGAGAAUGAAAAGUCAAAGAGAGUUUUACAUUUACCUUUAGAAUCUUGAAUAGGAUUUUUUAAAAUCUUAAUAUAAAUUUAAUUCCCCUAUUUAAUAGAAUAUCCUUUGGCAAUCCAUAACAACAAUAGAUAUUGUCAAUAAAAAGCUUAUUUAUUUCUUCACCUGAACUAGAUUUUGUACAUAGUACAAAAUGAACUAUUUUGAUGAAGCAAUCUAUGAUUACGAAUAUAAAGUUAUAUGAACUUGAACUUAGAAGAUCUGUAAUAAAAUCCAUAGAAAUAAAAGACCAUGCUUGUUUGAAUACAAGCAAUGGUUGGAGAAGUCGAUAGGAUCAAUGACAAGGAACUUUUUAUCUUGAACAAACAUCACAUGACUAAUUAAAGUCUUUUAUUGCCUUCGAUAUUUGCAGCCACUAAAAAUCUUUAGAUAUAAGUUCUAAAGACUUAUUGUAUCCAAAAUUUCUUACUACUGAAAAGUCAUGAUGUACUUAAAGAACAUGUAAACGUACUUCUCUUUUUGGAAUAUAUAGUCGUCUCUCAAAAUAGAAUAGGUUUUUCUUAAACUUGAACUUAGAAACAUCAUAAGACUUAAAAGAAAGAUUCUUGAUAUCAUGAAUAAGAGGAUGAAAGGACAUACUUGAUUGAAUUUGUUUAACAAAGAUUGAAUCAACAAUCAAUGUUGAUUUCAUUGCUCAAAGAUGAAAAUACUCUAGCUUCAAGAGGAUUAUUCUUUGUUGAUCAAAAGUUACAUCUCUUUCUUUUGGUGCAAGUUAAGAUCAACUUGAAAGAACAUCUGAUAAACCUUGUUAUUUUUCACGUUGUUAUGUGAUCUUGAAAUCAAAUCUUGAUAAUGACAUGCUCCAAUAAGCUCUUUAAAGCAAAAAAUAAUGCUUUGGCUUCUUUAUUCCAUUCAAAUUUGUCUUUACAAGCUCUAUUCUUGGAAUCUUUUAAUCUAUGAUAGUUUGAACCUUCUUUGGAUCCAUCAUAAGGCCUUCAUUGGAAAUGAUGUAUCCCAAAAAGUCAACUUGAGUAGUGUGGAAUACAUACUUUUCUAUCUUUGCAUACAAUCCUACAUCUCUUAGUUUUUAUAAUACACGAUGAAUAUGAACUUCAUGCUCUUUUAUAUUCUUAAAAUAUAUUAAAAUUCCGUCUAAAUAAUAAAUGAUAAAAUCAUCAAGAAACUCAUGAAAGACAUCAUUCAUUAGAUGUUAAAAAGUAGCUUGUGUAAUUAUAAGUCCAAAAAGUAUGACAUUAUAUUCAAAAUGUCCAUACCUAGUUUGAAAAGUAGUCUUCCAUUCAUCUCUUUCUUUAAUGCAGAUCAAGUUAUAUGCUCUUUGUAGAUUUAUUUUUGUAUAGAUCUUUACUUGAUUUAAUUCAUCAAGAAAACUUAAAAUCAAAGGUAGAAGAUACAUAUUGUUGAUGGUGAUCUUAUUAAGUCCUCGACAAUCUACACACAUCCAUAGAGAUCUAUCUUUUUUCUUUAUAAAUAAGAUAGGAUUGUCGGUUGGAGAUUUAAAAUGGCAUAUAAAAUAGUUAGCCAAAUUUUUAUCAAUGUACUCUUUGAGAGCAGCUAAUUCAUUUUGUGAUAAGCUAUAGGAUUUGGUCUAAAUGGUAGUUGAGUUCCUUCUUGAAGAUCAAUAGUACAAUCAUAAAGACAAUACUCUAGAAAAAUAUCUAUAUUCUUUUUUUCAAAAAUAUCUUAAAAAUCUUGAUACUGGCUAAGAAAAUCACUUGAUAUCUUCUCACCAUGAGCAAUAGAGGAGGCAUAUAUAGCAAAUGAUGGUCCUUCAUCUAUGGCAUGCAUGAAAGCUCUUGCACCUAUCAAUAAAGGUUUGGAUAUACUAGACUUAUACAUUUCUACUUGUCUAGUAGGACCUUAGACUAAACUAUGGCAGAAAUCAAGAUUGCAAGAAAUUGAAUCUAUCUAAGAAUUAUAUCUUUCUAACUAUGAUAAUCUUAAAAUGAUUGAGUUAGAAGGAGAUUUAAUCACAUUAAAUAUUAGUAAACUAUUAUGACUACUAGUUGCUACUUCUACAAAAAUAGUUUUAUGUGUAAUAUCUCUAGAAGAUAAUAAACGUCCAUCUAUUACUUCUACAUGCUCAGGCUUGAUUUUCUUAAUUAAAGAUUUAUCUUAUUUUUUAACAAAGUCUUCAUAUAUAAAACAAGUUGAGGCUUUUGAAUCCAGCAAGGCUAAGAAUUUUUAAUUUUUUGAUUCUAAAUAAACUUAUAUUAUAAAAAAAGGUGAAGGAUCAAAGGAGAGAAUAUGACUUUUAUUAGAUGUUGUAUAUGAUUCCAGCCAUAUGGUCCCUAUUGUAGUUGGAGGAACUCAUUUUUUGAUACAUUGUAUUCUUUGACAAUUGUGCUUUUCAUUUUAUAAUUACGUUGUUUCUUUGGACAAUGUUAAGCAAUAUGUUUAGCUUCUUUACAAUAUAAGCAUAAGUCCAUCAUUGACUCUUUUCUUGCUUUGUGAGGGAUUGAAAAUAUAUCAUAUCAAUUUAUAUUAAUUCUAGCUUUAAUAUAUAAGUUUUUGAAAACUUAGGAGCUAUUGAUAUUAUUUGAUUUAUUCUUCUCCAACCAUAUCUUUGUUCUAGACGUCUUUCAAAUAAUUGAUCAUCACAUGCAAUGGCUUGAGCAAUAAAUUAUUCCAAAGAUUUUGUCUUUAACAUUGUCAGUAACAAGUCUUUGACAUUAACCUUCAACUUAUAUCGAAAUUCAUUGAUAAGGGCUUUGUCAUUCUAGUCCACGUCGCAAGCGAGGUUUUAGAAUCUACCAACAUAUAUGGUGGCUGAGUAUGAUCCUUGUUAUAAGGAUAAGAACUUGGUCUCUGCUACUCUUUCUUGAUCACUUUUUCCAAAUGUGGUUGUAAACACUUUUAAAAAUAAAUUCAAAUCAUAAAGAAAUUAUAAUUUUUUUUUCCAUUAGAAAGUAUAAACUAAGAAAGAGUACUUGAUAGAAAUGCAUCUAUAAAUCUGACUUCAAUAAAUCCAUUGGGAUAUUGAAAAGGAUGCAAUCUUAAAUAGAGCUUGAGUUAUUGCAAAAAUACUUCAAAAUUUUGAUCUUAUUCCAUUAAACUUUUGAGGCAUACUAAUCCUUGUCCCUGACAUAUUUAUAGAAGCAAAACUCCCUGGAUUUGGUUGUGAGGUUGAUCUACUUGCUUUCUUAAAUUGCAUAAUUUUUUGCCACAGUCUCUAAAUUUCUUCUAUAGAUAUAAAAAUAUUAUUUCUAUGAUUUAUAUUAAAAAUAUAUGAGAUUUCUACUCUUAAAGUGUUGACAAGCUCAUGAAGAUCUAAAAAAAUUAAAAAUCUAUUUUCACUUCUAUUUAGAGUAGCAUCUAUAAUCUUUCCUUUCAUAGACAAUUCAAACAACUUCAAAAAAAAAAUUAGAGGAGGAUAGUAUGUAACUUCUAAUAAAAAUUUCUAUAAAGAUGGAUAAUCGACUAUCUUUAAGGAAAAGAUGAGUGUUAAAAAACAAGAUUUUUUGUUUAAAGGUAGAUAGUCUCCAACCUUCAAAAUACAAUAAUAGAAGUGAGAUAAUCUACUCAUUUUUUAAAACAAAACAAAAACAGUAUGUUAGCACUCUUGUCAAACUAUCAAGGAUAUAAAUCUCAAAGAAAAAAAAUCCUCAACAUACUCUUGUAUCACUCAAAGGAAUUGAAAAGUCACUCAAAAAUGAUAUAAUAUUGAAUUAGAAUGGAUAUUGCCAAAAACAAGAAAAAAAGAAAGUCUUGAAAUAAGACUAAAAAUUAGAAAGGCAUUGUUUUAUUAUAAAAGCUUAAAAUAUGUAAAAAUUAGUUAAAAUAUAUUAUAUAUUAAUAAAUCUAGAUGUAUAUUAGAAUAGUUAAUAGAUUAAUUUAAAAUGAGUGGAUUUAAGAAACUUUAUUUUGAGUUUUAUUUUUUUUUAUUAUAGCAUUUCAAAACAAUUAUAAGACCUAAAUAUUUACUAUAAAGCUUAGAGAAGAGAUUAGAGUCUAAAGAAGAAAAUCUUAACUAGUAGGAGGCUUAUUGGGAGGGAUGAAAGAAAGGAAUGAUUGGAUGAAGGUAAGGAAUGGGGAUCUUCAUUCCUACUUGUCGAAGGCCAUGUCCAAUCAGCUUCAAGGAGGCUACCUGAGGCCUUAUUAGGGAUUAGGAUUUUUAUUUCGAAAUAAUUUGAGCUUUGGAAACUACAAUUAAUAAUUUUAGGAUUUUGAAUACAAAUUGGGUAUAAAUUUUGUAUAAUUUGGAGUUUUUAUGAAGGAAUUAUUGGCGCUCAAAGUUAAGGUGUCAAUUUCAUAUCUACUGUCACUCUUUGGGGCAUAACAUACGUUAAUAGAGAGCAACAAAAGAUCAAAGACUAGGAUUAAAGAGAAAACUUUUUCAACUAUACUUUUCAUAUACUAUUUGAUGAAUUUGGAAUUCGGAUGAAGAAGUUAUAGAGGGUUGAAGUCAGCAUAUCCAAAUCAAAGGCAAUGAGUAAGUGAUUUUAUUCAUAGUAAUGGUUGGAGCCAUAUCUUGAGUAUCUAAACGAAUUUUGGACUCAAAUCUUUUGAAGAAAGUAUAUUAUUGUGUUAAAAAGCUAUAAAUACAAAUUUUGUGGCAAUUAAAUGCUUAAUUUCUGAGAUAUGCAAAAAAUUGCAUAUAGAUGUAAAAAACCUAGGAUUUGAAGCUAAUGUUAGGAUUUUGGUGAUAUCUUAAGAUUCGGGAUGAAUUUGUAGUUGAAAUUUUUUGUGGUAGUUUUUACAAGUAUAUCAGUACUUUAUUUAAAAUUUGAGUGUAUUUAAACAGUCCGAUUGAAAGAUAUGAGUUUUUGAAGUUUGAGAAUAAUACCUCAUAAGGAUAUUAAAGGAUUUAGAGGUUUUAUCAUAUUUUGGGUGCUUUUGGGAACUUAAAACUUAUAUCUUUGAUGUAAUAGCAUCUAAAAGUAUUAUAUAUAUCUAUAUAUAUAUAAAAUGGGUCUUCUUUAUCUCAAGACUUGAUUAAAUUAGUGGCAUCCAGGAACCUAGUGCUUUCUUGAGGCAAACUCUCUCUAUUCCAAUAGUAUUGAAAAGAGUGAAGAAGGCUUCACUAUUGCCUCCAUAUAUACUCUUUAACUAGGAGCUAUGUGGUAAUAUUCUAUAGGACCUCCAACAUGUAUUGACUUUAUUAGCCACAUGUCUUAACUUGUAAGACAAGUUAUUUAUGUAUAUACCACAUAAUUGGCUUGUUUCACAAGCUAUUAUAUGGAAUUAACUUGUUCCACAAGCUAUCAAUAUGUUGUUGUGAUGUAAUAUGACUAAUAGGUGAAAGAGUGAAAAUUAUUAUAAUAUAGGAGAUCUCAGUUUAAGAUAUUAGAGCAAAUUAUCAUAGAGAGAUAGUUAAUAGUCAAAAGGGUAGUAAAAUUAAAAAGUACUAAUAUUGUCUUUUACAAAAUGGCCUUCUACUUACUUUGUUGGAUUAUAAAUAAUACAAAAUAAAGUAGAUUAAAAAAAUAAAAAAUCUGAGCAUUUAUAGGAGAAACUUAUGAAUUUAUUUUAAUAAAAAUUAACUCAAAAAGAUGACUUUUGAUACUCGAAGAGGGCCGGUUAUCAACUUGGAUCAAAAUCAGACCCCGAGGUACAAAAUUGAGCACCUACGACAACUCUGGGAUUCUUUUUGGAGAUCAGAAAGUGGAAUUUGAAAGCAAAUUAGAUAGGAUUUCUAUAAGAAUUAUUUUUGUAUAAUGGAAAUUUGUAAUGACUUUAUAAGAACUUUACAAAGUCAAGUUUUUUUUCAAAUGACUUGGAAUUUGUAAAAUAUUAUAGGAUUGAUGUUUUGGGCGAUUUUAAGAGUUUUGUAACAGAUCUACAAGUGAAAUUUUGUAGGUUAAUGAUUAUAAUUGUACUUAAUAUGUGUUGUAAAUUUUAACUAGAUCUAAUAGUCAAAUUAAGAAUUAUUGAGGUUUAAGUGGAUCAAAGUCUCAAAAAAUAGAAUUUUAGGUCUAGUGAGGGUUUUUAAGAUUUCUUAUUAUUUACUAGUUGAAUUGGAAUAAAAGUUAUGUAUUUGAAUAGUAGACUUGUUUUUCUUUAUAUAUGAGAAUUUUGAGAUUGAUUGAAUGGUUUGAUAAGAAGAAAUUGAUGUUGGAAAUUCAACAUUUAGAUUGAAAAAGAAGGUUGACUGACACUUGAGCAUAUUUUUGUGAUUAUUAUCUAUUUGAAGUUAAAAAUAUUAUCUUGCUCCUCAAAAAUUUUGAGUUCAAUCCAACAAUUGGAUUAGAAGAAAUUGAUUACUAAAGUUUUGUAAUUUUGAAGGGUAUUAACUAUUGCUACUGGAUAUUAGUUAUUAUUACUAAAUAUUGAUUUUUGCUACUCAUUAUUGGCUACUGCUUAUAGAUAUUGGUUACUACUAUUGGUUUUUGAUUACUACUACUGAUUACUCUUAUCAAAGCUGAUUAUUGUUAUUAGUUAUUUGUUAUUGUAAAUUUUCUUUUAUCUUCCAGAGCCAAAUGCCGUGUGCAUUCUAAAGCCAAAUGCCACGUAAUACAACAAUGUGGUUAACUUGUUGGCCAAGUUUCUAACUUACAAACAAAUCUAAAGUUAAAACCACAUCAAUAAAGUUUUUAAGAAUCUUUUUUAGAAGACUUCAUAAAAUUAAUCUAUAUUUAUCUACUUCUAUCUAAUUAUAUAAAUAACUAUUGAAAUAAAUAUAUAUAUCAGUGAUACAUAGUUAGUUUGUUUCACAAGCUACCAAUACGUUGUUAUGAUAUAACAAAACUAAUAGGUGAAAGAUGUGAAGAAUCUAUUAUAUUAUAAAAGAUUUUAUUUCAAAUAUUCUACCAAAUUAACAUAGAAAAUAGACAAUAGUCUAGAAGAAAGUAGAACUGAAGGUUUAAAUCCUAUUUUUUUACAAAGUAGGCUUCUAUUUACUAUGUAAGGCCAUAAAUAAGGCAAAACAAGGUAUAUUAGAAAAAUAAAGAAUAUAAGCAUAUAAAAAAAUAAAUUAGAAUUUGAUUGGAAUAAAAAAAAAUCAAAAAAAUAAAAUUGAUAUAAGAAGAGGAUCAGUUAUCAACUUGAAUCAAAAUCAGACCUUGAAGUACUAAACCAUACAUGAAUGACAACUUGGAGGUUCUUUAAUAGAUUGGAGAGUGGAAUUUCAUGGAAAACUUGAUAAGAUUUCUUUGAGCAUUGAUUUUGAAGGGAUUGAAUGUGUAAUGUAUUUGCAAGAGCUUUACAAAGUCACAAUUAUUUUGGGUGAUUCUAAAAUUUGUAAAAUAAAUAAAGUAUUAUGUUUUGGAGAAUUUUGUGAGUUUGGUAGUAGAUUUAUAGUUCAAAUUUUGAUGACUUAUGACAAUAGUUGUCUGAAGUGUAUAUUGUAAGUUUGAUCUUGAUCAAAUGGUUGAAUUGAAGACUAUUGAAUUUCAAGUAGAUUGAAGUCUUAGAAAUUGGACUUUGAGAGGUAGUUAGGAUUUCUAAAAUCUUCAGCAAUUUACUAGUUGGAUUGAAGUAAAAUAUAUGUUUAAAAAUAAUAGACUUGAUAUUUUACAUACAUGUGAAAUUUGAGAAUAAUUGAAUAAUUCAUUAAAGAGAUAUUGACACUAGUUGUUCUACAUUUAGAUUGGACUUGGAGGCCGACCAAUAUUUGAGUGGAUUUUAGGAUUUUUCUUCCAUUUGGUAAGUGUAAUUAUCUUCAAAUUUUGUAUACUUGUUGUCAAUUCAAUUAUUAAAAGGUAUGUAAAUUUUAAAGCAAGAUCAAUGAUUCAAUUGAUAGAUAUUGAGAUUUUAAAUUGUACUAGGAUUAGAAUUUAGUUUAGGAUUUAAUUUAGGAUUUAGGAUUUGUCUAGGAUUUGGUUUAGGAUUUAGAAUUUAGGAUUUGAUUUAAGAUUUGAUUUAGGAUUUAGUUUAGGAUUUAGGAUUUGUCUAGGAUUUGAUUUAGGGUAUAAGAUUUGUCUAGGAUUUGAUUUAGGAUUUAAUUUAGGAUCUAGGUUUUGAUCUAGGAUUUGAUUUAGGUUUUAGGAUUUGACUAGGAUUUAAUUUAGGAUCUGAUUUAGAGCUUAAGAUUUGUUUAAGAUUUGAUUUAGGAUUUAGGAUUUGUCCAAGGUUUGAUUUAGGAUUUGAUUUAAAAUUUAGGAUUUAUAUAGGGUUUGAUUUAGGAUUUGAUUUAGGAUCUAGGGUUCUAUCUAAGGUUUGACUUAAGGUUUAAAAUUUGUCUAAGGUUUGAUUUAUAAUUUACUUUAGGAUUUAAAAUUUGUCUAGAAUUUGAUUGAAGUUCAUUAGGAUUUUAACUAGGAUUAAAUUAGAACAAGUUGAGAUUUAUUUAAGAUAUAUUUGUGAAUAUUUUAGUAUUUUUUAUAAAUUCUUAAGAAUUCUUUUAAGAUUUAUUAUGGAUUUUCUUUCAACUUCUUUAAGAUUUCUUAUUGUUUCUUUUUUAAUUUCUUUAAUGUUUCUUUUGAAUUUAAUUAAAGCUUAUUUUGCAUUGUUAAUAUUUAAUUAGAGUUUAUUUAAUAUUCUAUUAGAAUUAGAAUUUUGUUGUUGUAAUUUCUAUUCUACCUUCCAUAGCUAGGUACUUGGUGCACUCUCAAAUAAGUCUUCACAUAAUAUGACAUCAUUUGAUAUAUGAUUAACUAAUUGAUUAAGUUUCUAUCUAAC
This 9865-nucleotide long non-coding RNA is filed under the name Physcomitrium patens. RNAcentral's name for it is "long non-coding RNA (PPAT_LNC009732)". The record is from RNAcentral. Lineage: Eukaryota; Viridiplantae; Streptophyta; Bryopsida; Funariales; Funariaceae.